AUUGAACGCUGGCGGCAUGCUUUACACAUGCAAGUCGAACGGCAGCGCGGGCUUCGGCCUGGCGGCGAGUGGCGAACGGGUGAGUAAUGCAUCGGAACGUGCCCAGUAGUGGGGGAUAGCCCGGCGAAAGCCGGAUUAAUACCGCAUACGACCUGAGGGUGAAAGCGGGGGACCGAAAGGCCUCGCGCUAUUGGAGCGGCCGAUGUCGGAUUAGCUAGUUGGUGGGGUAAAGGCUUACCAAGGCGACGAUCCGUAGCUGGUCUGAGAGGACGACCAGCCACAUUGGGACUGAGACACGGCCCAGACUCCUACGGGAGGCAGCAGUGGGGAAUUUUGGACAAAGGGGGCAACCCUGAUCCAGCCAUGCCGCGUGCGGGAAGAAGGCCUUCGGGUUGUAAACCGCUUUUGUUCGGGAAGAAAUCCUCUGGGCUAAUACCCCGGGGGGAUGACGGUACCGGAAGAAUAAGCACCGGCUAACUACGUG
Molecule: ribosomal RNA, 484 nt
Filed under: uncultured bacterium
Lineage: Bacteria
Description: partial 16S ribosomal RNA
Rfam family: Bacterial small subunit ribosomal RNA
Source: RNAcentral